GAAGUUAGCGGCGGACGGGUGAGUAACACGUGGGUAACCUGCCCAUAAGACUGGGAUAACUCCGGGAAACCGGGGCUAAUACCGGAUAAUAUUUUGAACUGCAUGGUUCGAAAUUGAAAGGCGGCUUCGGCUGUCACUUAUGGAUGGACCCGCGUCGCAUUAGCUAGUUGGUGAGGUAACGGCUCACCAAGGCAACGAUGCGUAGCCGACCUGAGAGGGUGAUCGGCCACACUGGGACUGAGACACGGCCCAGACUCCUAGGGGAGGCAGCAGUAGGGAAUCUUCCGCAAUGGACGAAAGUCUGACGGAGCAACGCCGCGUGAGUGAUGAAGGCUUUCGGGUCGUAAAACUCUGUUGUUAGGGAAGAACAAGUGCUAGUUGAAUAAGCUGGCACCUUGACGGUACCUAACCAGAAAGCCACGGCUAACUACAUGCCAGCAGCCGCGGUAGUACGUAGGUGGCAAGCGUUAUCCGGAAUUAUUGGGCGUAAAGCGCGCGCAGGUGGUUUCUUAAGUCUGAUGUGAAAGCCCACGGCUCAACCGUGGAGGGUCAUUGGAAACUGGGAGACUUGAGUGCAGAAGAGGAAAGUGGAAUUCCAUGU
This 601-nucleotide ribosomal RNA is filed under the name Bacillus thuringiensis. RNAcentral describes it as "bacterial SSU rRNA". It matches the Rfam family "Bacterial small subunit ribosomal RNA", at positions 88 to 674 of the family's 1533-position model. The record is from RNAcentral. Lineage: Bacteria; Bacillati; Bacillota; Bacilli; Caryophanales; Bacillaceae.